This 417-nucleotide ribosomal RNA is filed under the name Acinetobacter sp. RNAcentral's name for it is "bacterial SSU rRNA". It matches the Rfam family "Bacterial small subunit ribosomal RNA", at positions 387 to 795 of the family's 1533-position model. The record is from RNAcentral. Lineage: Bacteria; Pseudomonadati; Pseudomonadota; Gammaproteobacteria; Moraxellales; Moraxellaceae.
CCAAGCCCUGCCGCGUGUGUGAAGAAGGCCUUUUGGUUGUAAAGCACUUUAAGCGAGGAGGAGGCUUACCUGGUUAAUACCCGGGAUAAGUGGACGUUACUCGCAGAAUAAGCACCGGCUAACUCUGUGCCAGCAGCCGCGGUAAUACAGAGGGUGCAAGCGUUAAUCGGAUUUACUGGGCGUAAAGCGCGCGUAGGUGGCUAAUUAAGUCAAAUGUGAAAUCCCCGAGCUUAACUUGGGAAUUGCAUUCGAUACUGGUUAGCUAGAGUAUGGGAGAGGAUGGUAGAAUUCCAGGUGUAGCGGUGAAAUGCGUAGAGAUCUGGAGGAAUACCGAUGGCGAAGGCAGCCAUCUGGCCUAAUACUGACACUGAGGUGCGAAAGCAUGGGGAGCAAACAGGAUUAGAUACCCCGGUAGAA